AUGAGCGACAGCGAUGUCGACGAGGACGAGCUCCUCCAGAUGGCGCUGCAGGAGCAGGCCGCCCGGGACCUCAGCCACCAGCGCCCGGCCGGCGCGAACAAGCCCGUCGUCAACCUCGUCCGCCCGCCCGCCAACGCCCGCGGGGGCGCCAAGGCGCGUCAGCCCAGCCGCGGCGGCGACGAGGAUGACGACUCCGAGGUCGAGAUGCUCUCCAUUUCCUCCGGCGACGAGGACGGCGCCCCCGCCCGCGAGCGCGGGCCCCCGCCGCCCCGCGGGGGCGGCCGCGCGGGUGCUCGGAGGGCCGCGUCGCGGGACGACGCUGAUCUCGACGACGCCGAGCCCAGGAGCUGGAAGCGUGUCGACGAGGCUGAGCUUGCUCGCAGGGUUCGGGAAAUGCGUGAAGCAAGAGCAGCGCCUAGUAUUCAAGCACUUGAUCAGAAAGCGGCAGCAGCAGCAGCAGCUCGAAAGGCGCUCUCAAGUGUACAGACUUUACCUAAAGGCGUGGAGGUUUUGGAUCCAUUAGGCCUUGGUGUUAUGGACAAUAAGUCCCUGCGGCUAAUCACCGAAGCUUCAAUAAGUUCUCCAGUUUCAAGGGAGAAGUCCCAGGGUUUGGACCCCAGUAUGCGAGAGAAAGUUAUAUAUUCUUCUCCUCGUUUUGAUCCCAAGGUUUUUCUUUCGUGGGUCCACAAAGAUACAAGUGCUGCUGAUUUGGAGUCUGGUGCUCUUACCUUGAAAACUGAUCUCAAAGGGAGAACACAGCAGAAAAAACAACUAGUCAAGGAGAAUUUUGAUUGUUUUGUCUCCUGCAAAACCACAAUAGAUGACAUUGAGUCGAAGCUGAGACAGAUAGAAGAUGAUCCUGAGGGUGCAGGCACAUCUCACUUAUAUUCAGUCACUCAAAAAAUGAGCGGUGUGGCAAAUCGUGCAUUUGAGCCUCUAUUUGAGAGGCAGGCCCAAGCUGAGAAGAUCAGAUCUGUUCAAGGAAUGCUUCAGAGAUUCCGGACAUUAUUUAACCUGCCAAGCGCAAUUCGUGGCAACAUUAGGAAAGGAGAGUAUGAUCUAGCUGUCAGAGAGUACCAAAAAGCAAAAUCAAUUGUUCUUCCUUCUCAUGUUGGAAUACUGAAACGUGUACUGGAAGAAGUGGAGAAGGUAAUGCAUGAAUUCAGGGGCAUGCUUUAUAAGUCAAUGGAAGAUCCUCAUCUCGACCUUGCUGAGCUUGAGAACAUUGUCCGCCUACUGUUGGAGUUGGAGCCUGAGACUGAUCCAGUGUGGCAUUAUCUUAAUAUUCAGAAUGGCAGAAUUCAUGGAUUGUUUGAAAAGUGUACCGUAGAUCAUGAAGUGCGAAUGGAGAUUUUGCAAAAUAAAAUACGUGAUAAAGUGCUAUCUGAUUCAAAAUGGAGGCAGCUGCAACAAGAGUCGAAUAAAUCAUUGGAAGUUGAUUCUGCUAUUGGUGAUUCUUUUCAAGAUGAUCAAUUGUCAUCAAGCUUCAUGGUUGAAGAGGCUGAUAGUUUAAGGGCAACUUACAUACGCAGGUUAAGUGCUGUACUUAUCCAGCAUGUUCCAGCAUUCUGGAGAUUAGCUUUAUCUGUCUUCAGUGGAAAAUUUGCAAAGGCAGCUGCUGGCAAUGCACUUGCUGAUUCUGAGAUGAAUGCAAAAUCUGGUGCAAAUAAGAUUGAUGAUAAAGGUGCGGAGGCGAAGUACACAAACCAUAGUCUUGAUGAGGUUGCUAGUAUGGUUUGUGCUACUGUAUCUGUUUUCGACACGAAGGUUCAGAAUACUUUUCGUGAUUUUGAGGAAUGCAACAUUCUUCGUCCAUUUAUGGGUGACACUAUAAAAGAAAUAGCUAAGGCUUGUCAGACCCUCGAGGGGAAGGAUUCAUCCCCGACUGCUGUUAAAAUGUUGCAUGCCCUUCAUACUGAAAUGACAAAGCUCUACAUUCUUCGACUUUGUUCGUGGAUGCGGGUAACAACUAAGGAAGUAUCAAAACAUGAGACUUGGGUUACUUUGUCAACCCUUGAGAGAAACAAGUCUCCUUAUGCAAUUUCAUGCCUGCCCUUGGAGUUCCGUGAAAUCACAAUUUCCGCAAUGGACCGGAUUGAAUUAAUGAUCUUUAAUCUCAGGAAUGAGACUGCCAAGUCUUACGACAUUACUCGACAGCUUCAGGAAAUCCAUGAGUCUGUUAGACUUGCGUUUCUAAAUUCUUUUCGGGAUUUUGCAGGUUAUCUGGGGACAUUUGGAGCGGAACUAGCUCAGAGUAGAUCAAAUAAAGAAAACAAUCAUGUGCAAAAUGGGUAUAUGAAUGGUACUGAUAGAGAAUCAUCUGCUAGCAUGGAUGGAGGCUUGCACAAGAAGCUAUUGGUUGUUUUGAGUAACAUUGGAUAUUGUAAAGCAGAACUUUCAGAUCAACUGUAUAACAAAUAUAGGCACAUUUGGUCUCCGAUCAGGGAUAAUGAUGAACGUAGUGCUGAUAUGCGAGAUCUGGUGACAUCCUUCUCUGGACUUGAGGAUAAAGUCCUCGACCAAUAUACUUUUGCAAAGUCAAAUGUGAUCAGAAAUGCUGCACAGAACUAUCUGUUGGAUUCUGGGAUUCAUUGGGGAGCAGCACCUGUAGUGAAGGGCAUACGGGAUGCAACUCUUGAUUUACUGCACAUCCUUGUAGCUGUACAUGCCGAGGUAUACUCGGGUGCUAGGCCUUUGUUGGAGAAAACGAUGAAAAUUUUGGUCGAGGGUUUGGUCGACAUCUUUCUUAGUCUUUUUUAUGAGAACAAGGCCAAAGAUCUCAGAAUGUUGGAUGCAAAUGGUUUUUGUCAGCUCAUGCUUGAGCUCGAGUAUUUUGAAACCGUGUUAAACACAUACUUCUCUACUGAGGCACAACAAGCUCUGAAAUCUUUGCAAGAGAGUUUGUUGGAGAAGGCCUGUGAAAGUAUGGGUGAAGCCUCGGAGAAUCCUGUAUCAGAUGAUAAACAAGUGUCAUCAGUAUCACCCGAUGAUUUGCUUGCUCUUGCUCAGCAACACGGCAGUGAUCUGCUGCAAGGGGAGCUGGAGAGAACCCGAUUAAAUAUAGCAUGUUUUAUGGAGCCAACUCUUCAAUCAGGCUCGAAAACUUCAGCUUAUUCGUCUUACCAGGCACCAGCCCCAGCUCAAGUCUCCUCCCCUAGUUUUAGAAGGCAGCAGACAAAUUCUCCUAUAGUCUCUAGAAGACGCCGAUGA
RNAcentral lists this ribosomal RNA (3210 nucleotides) under Triticum aestivum (bread wheat). RNAcentral's name for it is "partial small subunit ribosomal RNA". Lineage: Eukaryota; Viridiplantae; Streptophyta; Magnoliopsida; Poales; Poaceae. The record is from RNAcentral.